RNAcentral lists this ribosomal RNA (461 nucleotides) under uncultured bacterium. Its description in RNAcentral is "partial 16S ribosomal RNA". It matches the Rfam family "Bacterial small subunit ribosomal RNA", at positions 338 to 795 of the family's 1533-position model. The record is from RNAcentral.
CCUACGGGAGGCAGCAGUGAGGAAUAUUGGUCAAUGGGCUUACGCCUGAACCAGCCAAGUCGCGUGAGGGAAGACUGCCCUAUGGGUUGUAAACCUCUUUUGUCAGGGAGCAACGCCGGCUACGUGUAGCCGGACUGAGAGUACCUGAAGAAAAAGCAUCGGCUAACUCCGUGCCAGCAGCCGCGGUAAUACGGAGGAUGCGAGCGUUAUCCGGAUUUAUUGGGUUUAAAGGGAGCGUAGGUGGAUUGUUAAGUCAGUUGUGAAAGUUUGCGGCUCAACCGUAAAAUUGCAGUUGAAACUGGCAGUCUUGAGUACAGUAGAGGUGGGCGGAAUUCGUGGUGUAGCGGUGAAAUGCUUAGAUAUCACGAAGAACUCCGAUUGCGAAGGCAGUUCACUGGACUGCAACUGACACUGAGGCUCGAAAGUGUGGGUAUCAAACAGGAUUAGAUACCCUAGUAGUC